UCCUACGGGGCGCAGCAGUGAGGAAUAUUGGUCAAUGGGCGCGAGCCUGAACCAGCCAAGUCGCGUGAGGGAAGACGGUCCUAUGGAUUGUAAACCUCUUUUGUCGGGGAGCAAAAGACGCCACGCGUGGCGUUCCGAGAGUACCCGAAGAAAAAGCAUCGGCUAACUCCGUGCCAGCAGCCGCGGUAAUACGGAGGAUGCGAGCGUUAUCCGGAUUUAUUGGGUUUAAAGGGUGCGCAGGCGGAAGAUCAAGUCAGCGGUAAAAUUGAGAGGCUCAACCUCAUCGAGCCGUUGAACCUGGUUUU
This 305-nucleotide ribosomal RNA is filed under the name uncultured bacterium. RNAcentral describes it as "bacterial SSU rRNA". It matches the Rfam family "Bacterial small subunit ribosomal RNA", at positions 337 to 640 of the family's 1533-position model. The record is from RNAcentral.